GAUGAACGCUGGCGGCGUGCCUAAUACAUGCAAGUCGAGCGAACAGACGAGGAGCUUGCUCCUCUGACGUUAGCGGCGGACGGGUGAGUAACACGUGGAUAACCUACCUAUAAGACUGGGAUAACUUCGGGAAACCGGAGCUAAUACCGGAUAAUAUAUUGAACCGCAUGGUUCAAUAGUGAAAGACGGUUUUGCUGUCACUUAUAGAUGGAUCCGCGCCGCAUUAGCUAGUUGGUAAGGUAACGGCUUACCAAGGCAACGAUGCGUAGCCGACCUCAGAGGGUGAUCGGCCACACUGGAGCUGAGACACGGUCCAGACUCCUACGGGAGGCAGCAGUAGGGAAUCUUCCGCAAUGGGCGAAAGCCUGACGGAGCAACGCCGCGUGAGUGAUGACGGUCUUCGGAUCGUAAAACUCUGUUAUUAGGGAAGAACAAAUGUGUAAGUAACUAUGCACGUCUUGACGGUACCUAAUCAGAAAGCCACGGCUAACUACGUG
This 497-nucleotide ribosomal RNA is filed under the name uncultured bacterium. RNAcentral describes it as "partial 16S ribosomal RNA". It matches the Rfam family "Bacterial small subunit ribosomal RNA", at positions 28 to 507 of the family's 1533-position model. The record is from RNAcentral.